GGCCCGUUCGUCCAGAGGCCUAGGACGCAGGCCUCUCACGCCUGAAACACGGGUUCGAAUCCCGUACGGGCCA
Molecule: transfer RNA, 73 nt
Filed under: Candidatus Handelsmanbacteria bacterium RIFCSPLOWO2_12_FULL_64_10
Lineage: Bacteria; Candidatus Handelsmaniibacteriota
Description: tRNA-Glu
Rfam family: tRNA
About the family: Transfer RNA (tRNA) molecules are approximately 80 nucleotides in length.
Source: RNAcentral